Non-coding RNA from Camellia sinensis, 2164 nucleotides. The record is from RefSeq and is a predicted model, not a curated record. NCBI's taxonomy places the organism in Eukaryota, Viridiplantae, Streptophyta, Magnoliopsida, Ericales, Theaceae.
UGCUAUGUUCCAGGGUCUUCUACAAGGAGUUUCGGUUUUUCUUCAUGUGUAAGUGCUGAAUUUACUGCCUGCCAACAGUACAAUCAAUUAGUGCAGGCCAUUAAUAAUCGAUGUAGGGAGAAGAGGUAAUCAUUGGUGCACAUGAUUUUGCAAUGUCAGAGAAAUGUUAUGCAAACUUUGUUGGUUGUUAGUCAUUUCAAUUAUUUGUUUUGUAAUUUUCAUGCUUAAUAGUUCAACUUUGUCAGUUGAAGAUUCUCGUCAAGUGAAAACCUAAAUAAUUUCUAUAAUCAACCAGUCUUCAAAAAAAUUUUUUGCUUAACUUUGAGUCAAAUAUUGAUUUUCUAUACAUAAUGAAAAAUAUACAUAUAUAUAUUUAGGAAGGCAUGCCAGCGUUCUUGCAUGUUUCAUUACAUCAUCUUCAUAACACAAAUGUUGGUUUUAUGUUGUUAUUAACAAAGACAUAAUGCGCUAAGUUUCAGAAAAUUGAAAGAGAAAAAUGUCGAUUUAAUUAUAUUAGUCAACUUUGAUUUCAGAACAUGGGAAUUAUUACGUUUAUGCAGCCAAUUCAAAAGGCCAAUUUUCAGUGUUGAUCAAAAUUUAAUUUUAUGGGUUUUUUAUCCAUCCUAAAAAAUCAUUUACAGGUUUGAUUAGAAUGUUCCUAAAAUUUGAGGAUUUUGUAUCCAUCCCAAAAAAUCAUCUAUGGGAUUUGAUGAAAUGACAUGUUUCAAUUUUGAACAAAUGCUUUUCUGAUGCUCCAAUUUUAACUAAUUCCAUUUUAGUUGAUGAAGCUAAAUGAUCUACAUAUCACAAUGAGAUGGUGCCCUAACUGUGGGUUCCUGAGAGCAUUGCUUUUAACUGCGCUAUGUCCAAUUAAGCCACUGAAAGUUGCAUAUAGCUUCAGAAAACAUGUACAAAGGUAGAUUGAGUCGGAGGCAAUUAAAGUAACGAUGGAGUUGCAAUAACAAUCCACUUGGACGAUUGAAAUAUGCAUGUAGUUCUAGUUUGGAGUUCAGAUCAUAUGAUUUAGUUUAAUUCAAUUUCAAUUUUAUCUGUUGUUGAUUAUCGAUGUUCUUAUACCAGGUUGAGCUUGUAUGAGGCACCUAGACUUUUGUACCAAUUUAAGUCACUAUCCCUGGUUCUUGAGAUGAUAGGACUACAUAACUAUAGUAAUUGUACAUAUGUUGUGCUCAUGUUAAUCAAAAUUUAAUUUUAUAGAUUUUUCAUCCAUCCUAAAAAAUGAUCUAUAGGUUUGAUUACAAUGUUUCUAAAAUUUGAGGAUUUUGUAUCCAUCUUAAAAAAUCAUCUAUAGGUUUGAUUAGAAUGUUCCUGAAAUUUGAGGAUUUUUGUAUCCCUCCUAAAAAAUCAUCCAUGGGAUUUGAUGAAAUAACAUGUUUCAAUUUUGAACCAACGCUUUUCUGAUGUUCCAAUUUCAAAUAAUCUCAUUUUAGUUGCUGAAGCUAAAUGAUCUAAAACUCACAAUGACAUGGUGCGCUAACUGUGGGUUCCUGAGAGCAUUGCUUCAGAUGACAUGUCCUUAAACACAGGUUUUCCAUGCUAUCUUGUAUAUCACUAAUUCUAAAAGCCAUAGUGCUUCGUGCUGCCUAGAGUAUGCAAAAGUCACCUGAGUUGAGUAGACAUUUCCAAUUAUAACACUUUGGUCAGUCAUAUUGAUUUGUUGCAUGUGCAGAGGUAGUUUGAGCAGGAGGCAAUUAAUCUAACGAUGAAUUUGCCACAACAUUCCACUUGGAGGAUGGAAUCAUAUUAUUUUGCAUGUGAAGCCAAAAGAAUAAUUUUGUCUAUAGUUUUGGGUCACAAAGAUCAAGUGCAGCACAAAAUUUGCAGGUAGCCUGCUGGAAAUAGGUGCUUGAGCAGGAACUCUCACAUCAGCUGGAAUCUCAUCCAAAUUACAAGAGAUCAGGCAAAGAGAAAGAUUAAAGGUUGAAAAUUCCAUUACAAUAUAUAUGAGAGAGAGUAUCACAUGUGAAGCAAAAAGAAUAAUUCUGUUUAUAGUUUUGUGUCACAAAGAUCAACUGCUGCUUAAGAUUUGUAAGUUGUAUUUUCUGUCUCUGUCUCUCUCAUAUUUGAUCUAGUUGUCCCCUCUUUGGAAAAAUGCAGGUUGAUAACCUAAUGUUCAUAAUUGGCUAUCUCAUCCAAAUUAAACGAA